AAUGUAUAGCAAUAGCUACUUGCAUCAUUGUAAAUAUGAUGCAAGAUCGACUAUGUCGAAUAAAAUUCUAGGUAGAAUUAUGAUAAUGACAUUGUCUGCCUAUGUGUCUUGACCAAAUUACGUGCCAGCAGUCGCGGUAAUACGUAAAAGACUAGUGUUAUUCAUGUUUAAUCGGUUUAAAGGGUACCUAGACGGUAAAUCAAGCCUAAAAGGAAAUAAAUGAAGGGACUAAUUUACUAGAGUUACUUAUGAGGGGGUAUUAAAGUACUGCUGGUGUAGAGAUGAAAUUCUGUCAUACCUCUUUUCAAUAGAAAAAUAAUGGCACAGGUAUAGGCGAAAGCAUCCCCUUAUGUGAUAACUGACGUUGAGGGACGAAGGCUUUGUGUAGCGAACAGGAUUAGAUACCCCAGUAGUCAAAGCAGAAAAUGAUGAAUGUCAUAGAUUAGAUAUAUAAGUUUAUUCUAUAAAUGAAAGUGUAAGCAUUCCACCUCAAGAGUAAUUUGGCAACAUUGGAACUGAAAUCAUUAGACCGUUUCUGAAACCAGUAGUGAAGUAUGUUGUUUAAUUUGAUGAUCCGCAAAAAACCUUACCACAAUUUGAAUAUUUAUAUCUUUUAUUGUUUUUCUUUUUAACUUUCUUCUUAUUUUCUACUUAAAAGAAAACAAUUACAAGAAAAAAGAGGCAAUAAGAUAUAUUUACAAGCGUUGCACGGCUGUCUUCAGUUAAUGUCGCGAGACUAUGGUUAGUUCCAUUAAAUUAACGUAAACCCUUACUUUAUUUUUAUAUAGAGUAGUUCCCCGCUAUAUUGGAUAUGAUAACAGG
RNAcentral lists this ribosomal RNA (822 nucleotides) under Cetrariella delisei. RNAcentral describes it as "SSU rRNA". It matches the Rfam family "Bacterial small subunit ribosomal RNA", at positions 360 to 1152 of the family's 1533-position model. Lineage: Eukaryota; Fungi; Ascomycota; Lecanoromycetes; Lecanorales; Parmeliaceae. The record is from RNAcentral.